GAUUCGGUCAGCGGCGGACGGGUGAGUAACACGUGGGCAACCUGCCCGCAAGACCGGGAUAACUCCGGGAAACCGGAGCUAAUACCGGAUAACACCGAAGACCGCAUGGUCUUYGGUUGAAAGGCGGCCUUUGGGCUGUCACUUGCGGAUGGGCCCGCGGCGCAUUAGCUAGUUGGUGAGGUAACGGCUCACCAAGGCGACGAUGCGUAGCCGGCCUGAGAGGGUGACCGGCCACACUGGGACUGAGACACGGCCCAGACUCCUACGGGAGGCAGCAGUAGGGAAUCUUCCGCAAUGGGCGAAAGCCUGACGGAGCGACGCCGCGUGAGCGAAGAAGGCCUUCGGGUCGUAAAGCUCUGUUGUGAGGGACGAAGGAGCGCCGUUCGAAGAGGGCGGCGCGGUGACGGUACCUCACGAGAAAGCCCCGGCUAACUACGUGCCAGCAGCCGCGGUAAUACGUAGGGGGCGAGCGUUGUCCGGAAUUAUUGGGCGUAAAGCGCGCGCAGGCGGUCUCUUAAGUCUGAUGUGAAAGCCCACGGCUCAACCGUGGAGGGUCAUUGGAAACUGGGGGACUUGAGGGCAGGAGAGGAGAGCGGAAUUCCACGUGUAGCGGUGAAAUGCGUAGAGAUGUGGAGGAACACCAGUGGCGAAGGCGGCUCUCUGGCCUGCACCUGACGCUGAGGCGCGAAAGCGUGGGGAGCAAACAG
Molecule: ribosomal RNA, 707 nt
Filed under: Geobacillus stearothermophilus
Lineage: Bacteria; Bacillati; Bacillota; Bacilli; Caryophanales; Anoxybacillaceae
Description: bacterial SSU rRNA
Rfam family: Bacterial small subunit ribosomal RNA
Source: RNAcentral